Molecule: long non-coding RNA, 468 nt
Filed under: Marmota monax (woodchuck)
Lineage: Eukaryota; Metazoa; Chordata; Mammalia; Rodentia; Sciuridae
Source: RNAcentral
CUUGACUUUUGGACUUUGAAAUCACAUUUAAGAAGAUUAAAAAAAAAAAAAGUGGGAGGGCCCAUUAAAAUGUGAAGAGAAAGGACUUGUGGGGAGAUUUCUUUGCCGUGAUUCUCCCUACAGUGGAGAAGUUUACUAUUUACUUCUCAAGUCUAACAAGGGAAAUACACAUGGAGUCAUCCAGGAAGUUUUGAAAUGUGUUCUUUGCAGUUAGAAAAGCUACAGGAAUCUGACAUGAGAAAGCUAAAGUAAGCUGUGGUUGUGAGAUAGAUAGAGCGUUUGGGGUCAGCUUGUACAAAGAAUAACCUAAAACCACAUGUGUAUAUAUUUCAGUGGUUAUGAAAAAUAGAGAGCUGGCACUGGGUUGCCUUGGUUUUUUAAAAAUAUUUAUUUUUAUUUAAUUGUAAUUGGACACAAUACCUUUAUUUUUUUAUUCUUAUGUGGUGCUGAGGAUAGAACCCAGGGCCU